RNAcentral lists this long non-coding RNA (556 nucleotides) under Portunus trituberculatus (swimming crab). Its description in RNAcentral is "uncharacterized LOC123509880, transcript variant X2". The record is from RNAcentral. Lineage: Eukaryota; Metazoa; Arthropoda; Malacostraca; Decapoda; Portunidae.
CUUUGGAGUGGAGAGGUGAAGGUCUCGCGCCGCUACACCAGUGGGUAAGGAGGGCAAUCACACUUUGGACAAGGUGGUUGGCAGCCCUGGAAUACUCAAUAGACAGAUGGAUCAAAGUUGGCUGAUCCAAGAUUGAAAGGAUCUGUGUUUUGUCAGACUUGUGCCAGUGGCAUGUGAUGAAGGCACUGCAAUUACUAAGUGCAAAGGUUUCUCACAGAUGGUGUGCAUUAAUUAAGAAGUUGCUUGGAAUUCAGGUAUUUUUGUAUUUUUAAAAUGUGGUCAGAUAUCUGUAGGAUAGACCAAUCAAAGAUCUAUUUCAGAAUAUUGCUUGUCCCAAAUGCCAGGAAAGGGAUUUUCUGCAACAAUCAAAUAUCUAAUAAAAAAAUAAAAGUUUAUAUAAAUAUAUUUUAGACAAGUUUCCAGUCCUGUCAUAUUCAUCAAUCAGCAAUACAGAAUUUAGUCAUUAUAUACAGUUACAUAUAUAGAUAUUACAUUCAAAUAUGUAAAUAUUUAUGUAUAUUAUUACAAAUAAUAAAGCUUGGUACAUUUUUCUUAA